AGAGUUUGAUCAUGGCUCAGAAUCAACGCUGGCGGCGUGCCUAACACAUGCAAGUCGAGCGAGAAAGGGGGGGCAACUCCCUGAGUAAAGCGGCGCACGGGUGAGUAACACGUGGGUAAUCUGCCCUGGAGUGGGGAAUAACACCGGGAAACCGGUGCUAAUACCGCAUACGAUAGUGAGGUCUGCGGACUUUGCUAUGAAAGGAGCAAUUCGCUCUAGGAGGAGCCCGCGGCUGAUUAGCUAGUUGGUGAGGUAAUGGCUCACCAAGGCUACGAUCAGUAUCCGGUCUGAGAGGACGGUCGGACACACUGGAACUGAGACACGGUCCAGACUCCUACGGGAGGCAGCAGUGGGGAAUUUUUGGCAAUGGGGGCAACCCUGACCAAGCAACGCCGCGUGGGUGAUGAAGUCUCUUGGGACGUAAAACCCUUUCGACGGGGAAGAAACCGCAAGGUUGACGGUACCCGUAGAAGAAGCCCCGGCUAACUCCGUGCCAGCAGCCGCGGUAAUACGGGGGGGGCGAGCGUUGUUCGGAAUUACUGGGCGUAAAGGGCGCGUAGGCGGUGCUCUAAGUCGGAUGUGAAAACUCUGGGCUCAACCCAGAGCCUGCAUCCGAAACUGGAGUGCUAGAGUUCUGGAGGGGGUAGCGGAAUUCCUGGUGUAGCGGUGAAAUGCGUAGAUAUCAGGAGGAACACCGGUGGCGAAGGCGGCUACCUGGACAGAAACUGACGCUGAGGCGCGAAAGCUAGGGGAGCAAACAGGAUUAGAUACCCUAGUAGUCC
Molecule: ribosomal RNA, 782 nt
Filed under: uncultured bacterium
Lineage: Bacteria
Description: bacterial SSU rRNA
Rfam family: Bacterial small subunit ribosomal RNA
Source: RNAcentral